UGGUGCUGAGGUGAAGUUGCAGAGGAAUGCUUCGUGCGUCUUGCAAGCUCCAACUGGUAACGAAGUUGCAGAACAAUGUAGCUGAGAAUAUUUGUACCUGCCUGGUGGAGCUUGAGCUGGUGCUACCGGCAUCCACUACGACCUGCUGCCCAUGCCUUCGUUGACUGGGACGUCUCCUACAGCACCACGUCCCCCAUCGGCGUGCCACAGAAGGGUCUUCAGGAGAAGGACCUAGAUGGUCAUGCUGAGAAGGGCAUACAGCAUAACCAGAAGGCCACCUUCCGUGGAGAAGAUAAUGAAGCGUAGAGAAGAAACACCUGAAGUUCAAAAGAAAGGCCAAUGGUCUCUUCUAUGAGCACACCUUGUCUCUCACUGAACAUCUUUGUGUGUUUCAACUUGAGUCAGAUGCUCUUUGUCUUCAAGAAAGCUGUUGUGGUGACAUAAGUGACCCUCCCAAACCAAAAGAGCAUGUGUGAGAGCUUCUUCCCAUGCUCUGACACUUUGAUUUUGGGACGAGAUUGAUGCUUCUCCUGAUGUGUAUAUGCAUGCCUGUGCUGCUGUUGUGCUGGUUGUGGCCGCCUGCGUCUCACGCGAGGUUGUUGGCUUAGCUGGCCCGCGGCUUCGACUACCUCCUCGGCGAGUUCACCACGGCGUAACCAUGAUGCUCGUGCUCGGCUACAACAUCUCCUGUGAGUUACUGGAUGCAAAAGUGGAAUAGGACGAGGAAGAUUGUUGAGUAGCGUCCUAAGUGGUGGUGGUGGACAUGGUGGUAAAGGGGG
Molecule: long non-coding RNA, 779 nt
Organism: Lolium perenne
Lineage: Eukaryota; Viridiplantae; Streptophyta; Magnoliopsida; Poales; Poaceae
Source: RefSeq, a predicted model, not a curated record